ACACGAGCAAACCGUGCUCACGCAAGUGAGUCCUCGUGUCAUAGGUAGCAGCUAGUGUUCGUGUAGAGGAGGUCCACGGUAUACUAUGUAUAUAUCUGGACGCGAAACACUCGGAUGAGGCGAACGUAGAGACACGAAAAACGAUGGUCGGCUGAUCCCUUUGGGACAACUCGAAGAGGAGGAGGAGGAGGAGGAGGAGGAGUUUCCCUUCCUGGAACCAUGAUUAUCGGAGGUAACGAGAAGAUUCGGUGGAAAAACACGAUUCGGUCAACAGGUGGGCCACCUGGCAGGAUUCCAGGGAGAAGAUUUGAGAGAUUUGAAUAUGGGGAUAACACGAUUAGCAAAGGCAAUGUAGUGUAGGGCGUGAUCCUGCGCCACAGGGACACCGUAAUCUUGUAUUUUCACGAAUGAUUUAUUUCGAGUUAAACGAAUCUUAAAAAAACGAUUACGAUUCCUACUUAUGUUUUAUGUAUAAUUUAUGAAUUUAAUUUAUAAAUUAUUACCUUGAAUGUUAUCAACGAUCAAAAAUUUUAUAUUCGUUUGAAUGUCUGUGCAAAGAUUCAUUCUUAGAAAUAAAGUGAAUGCUAUAAAUAUCAAAUGCAUUUGGUUCCGCAUCAAGUAA
This is a long non-coding RNA of Apis cerana (Asiatic honeybee), 622 nucleotides long. RefSeq lists it as uncharacterized. NCBI's taxonomy places the organism in Eukaryota, Metazoa, Arthropoda, Insecta, Hymenoptera, Apidae. The record is from RefSeq and is a predicted model, not a curated record.